This 366-nucleotide ribosomal RNA is filed under the name uncultured bacterium. Its description in RNAcentral is "bacterial SSU rRNA". It matches the Rfam family "Bacterial small subunit ribosomal RNA", at positions 59 to 449 of the family's 1533-position model. The record is from RNAcentral.
AAGUCGGACGGACACCUUCGGGUGUCAGUGGCGGACGGGUGAGUAACGCGUAGGAAUCUACCCCUAGGAGGGGGAUAACAGCUGGAAACGGCUGCUAAUACCCCAUACAGGCGCGAGCUGAAAGGAGCAAUCCGCCUAGGGAUGAGCCUGCGUCGGAUUAGCUAGUUGGUGGGGUAAUGGCCUACCAAGGCGACGAUCCGUAGCGGGUCUGAGAGGAUGGCCCGCCACACUGGGACUGAGACACGGCCCAGACUCCUACGGGAGGCAGCAGUCGGGAAUUUUGGGCAAUGGGCGAAAGCCUGACCCAGCAACGCCGCGUGAAGGAUGAAGUCCUUCGGGAUGUAAACCUCGUAAGCAUGGGAAGAA